GCGCAGCAGUCGAGAAAACUUUACAAUGCGGGAAACCGUGAUAAGGGAACCUCGAGUGCUGGCGCAUAGCGUCGGCUGUCCAGAUGCCUAAAAAAGCAUCUGAUAGCAAGGGCCGGGCAAGACCGGUGCCAGCCGCCGCGGUAACACCGGCGGCUCGAGUGGUGGCCACGUUUAUUGGGUCUAAAAGCGUCCGUAGCCGGCUCGGCAAGUCCCCUGGGAAAUCUGGCGGCUCAACCGUCAGGCGUCCAGAGGAUACUGCUGGGCUUGGGACCGGGAGAGGUGAGAGGUACCUCAGGGGUAGGGGUG
Molecule: ribosomal RNA, 306 nt
Filed under: uncultured microorganism
Description: bacterial SSU rRNA
Rfam family: Archaeal small subunit ribosomal RNA
Source: RNAcentral